CAGUCGCCGCGGUAAUACGUAGGUGGCAAGCGUUGUCCGGAAUUAUUGGGCGUAAAGGGCUCGCAGACGGUUUCUUAAGUCUGACGUGAAAGCCCCCGGCUCAACCGGGGAGGGUCAUUGGAAACUGGAAACUUGAGUGCAGAAGAGGAGAGUGGAAUUCCACGUGUAGCGGUGAAAUGCGUAGAGAUGUGGAGGAACACCAGUGGCGAAGGCGACUCUCUGGUCUGUAACUGACGCUGAGGAGCGAAAGCGUGGGGAGCGAACAGGAUUAGAUACCCGUGUAGUCCCUGUCUCUUAUACA
This 301-nucleotide ribosomal RNA is filed under the name uncultured bacterium. RNAcentral's name for it is "partial 16S ribosomal RNA". It matches the Rfam family "Bacterial small subunit ribosomal RNA", at positions 509 to 808 of the family's 1533-position model. The record is from RNAcentral.